RNAcentral lists this long non-coding RNA (249 nucleotides) under Elaeis guineensis (African oil palm). RNAcentral's name for it is "long non-coding RNA (EGUI_LNC059618)". Lineage: Eukaryota; Viridiplantae; Streptophyta; Magnoliopsida; Arecales; Arecaceae. The record is from RNAcentral.
CUUUAUAGGGAAGUCUCUGCAACAUCAAUUUUCAACAACAUCAAUUUUCAACAAAAAAUCUAUAGUUGAGGGGGCAUCAUAGCCAAUUGAAAUUAUACUCGACAAAGGUAAGUUAUUAGACGGCACAAUAAUAAUAUCAUGAAGAGCUACAUGGGGUAGAUGAGUAGGGUGCCAAGUCAGCUAAUCAGCCCAAUUUCCUUGAACUAGGGGAAUCAAUAGGAUUUGGGUCAUCAGAUUUGUCACACCCCC